AGAAGGGGUGGUGCCUGGGAGGACCUGCAGAGGAGCUCCCGCAUCUCCUCAGGCCCUUUCUUCUGCGCCAUCUUGUGGCAGUUGAGAGCAGGCCCAGGGCAGAAGGGAGGCAGGGGCAUUAAGAGCUCAGGCCUCCAGCUGAGGGACUGCAGAUGUUGGACUCAUGGAGGCAACCACUCAAGGCCACUCUGAGAAGGGUUGAACGUGCUUUAAAUUAAAAGGACUGAGGAUCAUGUGUGUUGGUGUGUCCUGGACUCUGCUCUAAGGCCCUGUGGCUGCCUGGUGCCCUGGGAAUGGUCCGGUCAUGGGCCUCAGCCCAGGAUGAGCAGCCAACAAUGCAAUCCCACGAAGAGUGUGCGGAAGGGAGAGGUUACUUCUCAAGAUGGAGCUGCCAAAUAGGGACACUUUGGAGAGUCUGGCCUGAGAACUUUUAGUUUCAAGAAUGUAUUGCUUUGGAAAAGACAGAAUAAAAGUCCAAGCACUGCCA
Molecule: long non-coding RNA, 487 nt
Filed under: Homo sapiens (human)
Lineage: Eukaryota; Metazoa; Chordata; Mammalia; Primates; Hominidae
Description: T cell receptor gamma locus antisense RNA 1
Source: RNAcentral